UGCUCCAAUAGCGUAUAUUAAAGUUGUUGCAGUUAAAAAGCUCGUAGUAGAACUUCUGGUUGUGUACGACUGGCCCAGGGCCACCGUGUCAUUGAGUGCUGGUUCGUGCACGCCAUCCUGCUGGAAAACGGCUCUACCCUUGACUGGGCCGGGGUCGGGCUCCAGCUCGUUUACUUUGAAAAAAUUAGAGUGUUCAAAGCAGGCAACUCGCUUCUGAAUACAUUAGCAUGGAAUAAUGAGAUAGGACUUCGGUGCUGUUUCGUUGGUUUUUGGCGCAGAAGUAAUGAUGGAUAGGGAUAGUUGGGGGUGCUAGUAUUCAGCGGCCAGAGGUGAAAUUCUUGGAUUCGCUGAAGACUAACUUAUGCGAAAGCAUUCACCAAGGAUGUUCUCUUUUAUCAAG
Molecule: ribosomal RNA, 400 nt
Filed under: phytoplankton environmental sample
Lineage: Eukaryota
Description: partial small subunit ribosomal RNA
Rfam family: Eukaryotic small subunit ribosomal RNA
Source: RNAcentral